GGAAUAUUGGACAAUGGGCGCAAGCCUGAUCCAGCCAUGCCGCGUGCAGGAUGACGGUCCUAUGGAUUGUAAACUGCUUUUGUACAGGAAGAAACACUGGUUCGUGAACCAGCUUGACGGUACUGUAAGAAUAAGGAUCGGCUAACUCCGUGCCAGCAGCCGCGGUAAUACGGAGGAUCCAAGCGUUAUCCGGAAUCAUUGGGUUUAAAGGGUCCGUAGGCGGUCUUGUAAGUCAGUGGUGAAAGCCCAUCGCUCAACGGUGGAACGGCCAUUGAUACUGCAGGACUUGAAUUAUUAGGAAGUAACUAGAAUAUGUAGUGUAGCGGUGAAAUGCUUAGAGAUUACAUGGAAUACCAAUUGCGAAGGCAGGUUACUACUAAUUGAUUGACGCUGAUGGACGAAAGCGUGGGUAGCGAACAGGAUUAGAUACCCCAG
RNAcentral lists this ribosomal RNA (435 nucleotides) under uncultured Flavobacterium sp. Its description in RNAcentral is "bacterial SSU rRNA". It matches the Rfam family "Bacterial small subunit ribosomal RNA", at positions 358 to 790 of the family's 1533-position model. The record is from RNAcentral. Lineage: Bacteria; Pseudomonadati; Bacteroidota; Flavobacteriia; Flavobacteriales; Flavobacteriaceae.